RNAcentral lists this ribosomal RNA (255 nucleotides) under uncultured bacterium. RNAcentral's name for it is "partial 16S ribosomal RNA". It matches the Rfam family "Bacterial small subunit ribosomal RNA", at positions 524 to 776 of the family's 1533-position model. The record is from RNAcentral.
UACAGAGGGGGGCAAGCGUUGUUCGGAAUUACUGGGCGUAAAGGGCGCGUAGGCGGCCUGUUAAGUCGAACGUGAAAUCCCCCGGGCUCAACCCAGAGCCUGCAUCCGAAACUGGAGUGCUAGAGUUCUGGAGGGGGUAGCGGAAUUCCUGGUGUAGCGGUGAAAUGCGUAGAUAUCAGGAGGAACACCGGUGGCGAAGGCGGCUACCUGGACAGAAACUGACGCUGAGGCACGAAAGCUAGGGGAGCAAACAGG